UACCAGCUCUCCGAGUGGUAGGGAUGAUUAUUGGGCUUAAAGCGUCCGUAGCCGGCUUAGCAAGUCUCCUGUUAAAUUCAGCGACCUAAUCGUUGAGCCGCGGGAGAUACUACUAGGCUAGGAGGCGGGAGAGGCCAACGGUACUUCCGGGGUAGGGGUGAAAUCCUAUAAUCCCGGGAGGACCACCGGUGGCGAAGGCUGUUGACUAGAACGCGCUCGACGGUGAGGGACGAAAGCUGGGGGAGCGAACCGGAUUAGAUACCCGGGUAGUCCCAGCUGUAAACUAUGCGGGCUAGGUGUUGGGGUGGCUACGGGCCACUUCAGUGCCGCAGGAAAGCCAUUAAGCCCGCCGCCUGGGGAGUACGGCCGCAAGGCUGAAACUUAAGGAAUUGGCGGGGGAGCACCACAAGGCGUGAAGCUUGCGGUUC
RNAcentral lists this ribosomal RNA (428 nucleotides) under uncultured archaeon. Its description in RNAcentral is "bacterial SSU rRNA". It matches the Rfam family "Archaeal small subunit ribosomal RNA", at positions 474 to 903 of the family's 1478-position model. The record is from RNAcentral.